This 404-nucleotide ribosomal RNA is filed under the name uncultured bacterium. RNAcentral describes it as "bacterial SSU rRNA". It matches the Rfam family "Bacterial small subunit ribosomal RNA", at positions 117 to 523 of the family's 1533-position model. The record is from RNAcentral.
GUAGGAACCUGCCUGAUAGUGGGGGAUAGCCCGGCGAAAGCCGGAUUAAUACCGCAUACGCUCUACGGAGGAAAGGGGGCUUCGGCUCCCGCUAUCAGAUGGGCCUGCGUAGGAUUAGCUAGUUGGUAGGGUAAAGGCCUACCAAGGCGACGAUCCUUAGCUGGUCUGAGAGGAUGAUCAGCCACACUGGGACUGAGACACGGCCCAGACUCCUACGGGAGGCAGCAGUGGGGAAUAUUGGACAAUGGGGGAAACCCUGAUCCAGCCAUGCCGCGUGUGUGAAGAAGGCCUUCGGGUUGUAAAGCACUUUCAGUGGGGAGGAAGGCUUGAUGGUUAAUACCCAUCAGGAUUGACGUUACCCACAGAAGAAGCACCGGCUAACUCCGUGCCAGCCGCCGCGGUAA